RNAcentral lists this ribosomal RNA (486 nucleotides) under uncultured bacterium. Its description in RNAcentral is "partial 16S ribosomal RNA". It matches the Rfam family "Bacterial small subunit ribosomal RNA", at positions 28 to 507 of the family's 1533-position model. The record is from RNAcentral.
GACGAACGCUGGCGGCGUGCUUAACACAUGCAAGUCGAACGCUGAAGACCUGGCUUUUGUUGGGUUGGAUGAGUGGCGAACGGGUGAGUAACACGUGAGUAACCUGCCCUCUUCUUUGGGAUAACGCCCGGAAACGGGUGCUAAUACUGGAUAUUCACUGAUCUUCGCAUGGGGGUUGGUGGAAAGGUUUGUUCUGGUGGGGGAUGGGCUCACGGCCUAUCAGCUUGUUGGUGGGGUGAUGGCCUACCAAGGCUUUGACGGGUAGCCGGCCUGAGAGGGUGACCGGUCACAUUGGGACUGAGAUACGGCCCAGACUCCUACGGGAGGCAGCAGUGGGGAAUAGUGCACAAUGGGCGAAAGCCUGAUGCAGCGACGCCGCGUGAGGGAUGGAGGCCUUCGGGUUGUAAACCUCUUUCGCUCAUGGUCAAGCCGCAACUGUGGGUUGUGGUGAGGGUAGUGGGUAAAGAAGCGCCGGCUAACUACGUG